RNAcentral lists this ribosomal RNA (419 nucleotides) under Flavobacterium sp. CRIB-49. Its description in RNAcentral is "bacterial SSU rRNA". It matches the Rfam family "Bacterial small subunit ribosomal RNA", at positions 48 to 466 of the family's 1533-position model. Lineage: Bacteria; Pseudomonadati; Bacteroidota; Flavobacteriia; Flavobacteriales; Flavobacteriaceae. The record is from RNAcentral.
CUAACACAUGCAAGUCGAGGGGUAGGGUUAGCUUGCUAACCUGAGACCGGCGCACGGGUGCGUAACGCGUAUGCAAUCUACCUUGUACAGGGGGAUAGCCCAGAGAAAUUUGGAUUAAUACCCCAUAGUAUUAUUGAAUGGCAUCAUUUAAUUAUUAAAGUUCCAACGGUACAAGAUGAGCAUGCGUCCCAUUAGUUAGUUGGUAAGGUAACGGCUUACCAAGACGAUGAUGGGUAGGGGUCCUGAGAGGGAGAUCCCCCACACUGGUACUGAGACACGGACCAGACUCCUACGGGAGGCAGCAGUGAGGAAUAUUGGACAAUGGGCGCAAGCCUGAUCCAGCCAUGCCGCGUGCAGGAUGAAGCAUCUAUGGUGUGUAAACUGCUUUUAUACAGGAAGAAACCCUACCACGUGUGGUA